GACGAACGCUGGCGGCGUGCUUAACGCAUGCAAGUCAAACGGAAAGGCCCUGCUUUUGUGGGGUGCUCGAGUGGCGAACGGGUGAGUAACACGUGAGUAACCUGCCCUUGACUUUGGGAUAACUUCAGGAAACUGGGGCUAAUACCGGAUAGGAGCUCCUGCUGCAUGGUGGGGGUUGGAAAGUUUCGGCGGUUGGGGAUGGACUCGCGGCUUAUCAGCUUGUUGGUGGGGUAGUGGCUUACCAAGGCUUUGACGGGUAGCCGGCCUGAGAGGGUGACCGGCCACAUUGGGACUGAGAUACGGCCCAGACUCCUACGGGAGGCAGCAGUGGGGAAUAUUGCACAAUGGGCGGAAGCCUGAUGCAGCAACGCCGCGUGCGGGAUGACGGCCUUCGGGUUGUAAACCGCUUUCGCCUGUGACGAAGCGUGAGUGACGGUAAUGGGUAAAGAAGCACCGGCUAACUACGUG
Molecule: ribosomal RNA, 468 nt
Filed under: uncultured bacterium
Lineage: Bacteria
Description: partial 16S ribosomal RNA
Rfam family: Bacterial small subunit ribosomal RNA
Source: RNAcentral